GUCUACGGCCAUGCCACCCUGAACAAGCCCGAUGUCUGAUCUCGAAAGCUAAGCAGGGUCGGGCCUGGUUAGUACUUGGAUGGGAGACCACCUAGGAAGACUGGGUGCUGUAGGCA
Molecule: ribosomal RNA, 116 nt
Filed under: Pteropus alecto (black flying fox)
Lineage: Eukaryota; Metazoa; Chordata; Mammalia; Chiroptera; Pteropodidae
Source: RNAcentral